ACCAAGCUGGGCUAUCAGGUUCUUCCUGAGUUUGUGGUGGUUCAGCAUCAAAGGGAUGUGCAGGUGCUUUAUGCCCUAAAGAGCUUCUUCAAAUGCGGAGUGGUAAGGAAGAACAACGGAGAUAGAUGGUGCUACAGAGUUAGAAAGCUGGAGUGCCUUAAGGCUAUAUGUGAGUUCUUUGUUAGGCAUCCGUUAAAAACCAAGAAAAAUGUGGAUAGGAUCAAGUUCUGUAGGGUCGUGGGCUACAUGCUUGAGGGAAGGCACCUGAGCUUGGAAGGUCUUUUGGAGAUCGCGGAGAUAGCCCUUCGAAUGAACACACAGCAAAGGGAUGCCCUCCUUCGCAUAAAAAGGGACCUGGAGGCAAAGGUAAGAUACAGUCCACCCCUUGGCGAAAGCCGAGGAGAAAGGUGAGCGAAAUUCCUUGUCGGGUAAGCGUGGACUUGCCCGUGUCCGGCUCAUAUCGGGGGAGCCCUCCUACCCAAGAGGGUGUGGGGUAAUCCCGAGGGAAGCCCAUCUCUCGUGAGGGAGAUGGAGCCCCGUAACGACUGACCCGAAAGGGGAGGCACGCAAAAAGCGUGCAACACGCCGGCCACCACCCGUAGCCAAUGGCUACGCAGAAAGGACUAUGGAGGAAGGCAUGUUAGACCCUUGGUAUAUAACAGGCUUGGUAGAGGGUGAAGGUUGCUUUUCUGUUAGCUUUAAUCUGAGGGACAGCCUGAAGGUGGGUAUAGAAACGAGGGCUUCCUUUUCAGUUUCCCUAAACAAGAGGGACUUAGAGCUUCUGAAAAAGCUCCACCAAUACUUUGGCUGUGGAGGAAUAAGGUUUUCAAAGGCAGACAACACCUACAAAUACGAGGUUAGGGAGCUGAGAAGCCUCACAGAAAGGGUGAUCCCUCACUUUGAGAAAUAUCCCCUUCAGGGCUCAAAGGCAAGAGAUUUCGAAGCCUUCAAAGAGGUCUGCACAAUGAUGAAGGCAAACCUUCACCUAUCACCCAAGCAUAUGCCAAAGAUCAUAGAGCUUGCCUACAGUAUGAACCCAUCGGGCAAGCGUAAAUACUCAAAGGACUUCCUCCUACAGGUCCUUGGUGGUGAGAAGGUAUAGUCUACCCCUUGCCGAAAGGCAAGACAGGGUGAAGUUCCGACCUGCAUGAAUGGCCCAACGAGUGCCGCACUGUCUCGAGGAGAGUCCCGGCGAAAUUGUGAUGCCGGUCAAGACGCCGGCUACCCGCGGCAGGACGGAAAGACCCCGUGAAGCUUCACUGUAGCCUGGUACUGAGUCUUAGCCUGUCCUGCGCAGGAUAGGUGGGAGCCUGUGAAGUCCCUCCUCCGGGAGGGAUGGAGGCGCCGGUGAGAUACCACCCUGGACAGGCUGAGACCCUAACCCAGCGGAGUUAUCCUCCGCGGGGACCGUGCCAGGUGGGCAGUUUAGCUGGGGCGGCUGCCUCCUAAAAGGUAACGGAGGCGUCCAAAGGUACCCUCAGGCGGGUCGGAAAUCCGCCGUAGAGUACAAGGGCAGAAGGGUGCCUGACUGUGAGGCCGACAGGCCGAGCAGACGCGAAAGCGGGGCCUAGUGACCCACCGGUUCCACGGGGAAGGGCCGGUGAUCAGCGGAUAAAAGCUACUCCGGGGAUAACAGGCUAAUCUCCCCCGAGAGCCCACAUCGACGGGGAGGUUUGGUACCUCGAUGUCGGCUCCCCCCAUCCUGGGGCUGAAGCAGGUCCCAAGGGUUGGGCUGUUCGCCCAUUAAAGCGGUACGCGAGCUGGGUUCAGAACGUCGUGAGACAGUUCGGUCCCUAUCCGUCGUGGGCGUAGGAAAUUUGAGAGGAGCUGUCCUUAGUACGAGAGGACCGGGAUGGACGCACCGCUGGUGUACCAGUUGUUCUGCCAAGAGCAUCGCUGGGUAGCUAUGUGCGGAAGGGAUAAGUGCUGAAAGCAUCUAAGCAUGAAGCCCCCCUCAAGAUGAGAUUUCCCAUAGCGCAAGCUAGUAAGAUCCCUGAAAGAUGAUCAGGUAGAUAGGUCAGAGGUGG
RNAcentral lists this ribosomal RNA (2027 nucleotides) under hot springs metagenome. RNAcentral describes it as "bacterial LSU rRNA". The stretch from base 1203 to 2027 matches the Rfam family "Bacterial large subunit ribosomal RNA", at positions 2047 to 2870 of the family's 2925-position model. The record is from RNAcentral.